CCUACGGGAGGCAGCAGUGGGGAAUAUUGCACAAUGGGGGAAACCCUGAUGCAGCGACGCCGCGUGAGUGAAGAAGUAAUUCGUUAUGUAAAGCUCUAUCAGCAGGGAAGAAAAUGACGGUACCUGAGUAAGAAGCCCCGGCUAACUACGUGCCAGCAGCCGCGGUAAUACGUAGGGGGCAAGCGUGAUCCGGAUUUACUGGGUGUAAAGGGAGCGUAGACGGCAGUGCAAGUCUGGAGUGAAAGGCGGGGGCUCAACCCCCGGACUGCUCUGGAAACUGUACGGCUGGAGUGCUGGAGAGGUAAGUGGAAUGCCUAGUGUAGCGGUGAAAUGCGUAGAUAUUAGGAGGAACACCAGUGGCGAAGGCGGCUUACAGGACUGUAACUGACGUUGAGGCUCGAAAGCGUGGGGAGCAAACAGGAUUAGAUACCCUGGUAGUC
RNAcentral lists this ribosomal RNA (440 nucleotides) under uncultured bacterium. Its description in RNAcentral is "partial 16S ribosomal RNA". It matches the Rfam family "Bacterial small subunit ribosomal RNA", at positions 338 to 795 of the family's 1533-position model. The record is from RNAcentral.